RNAcentral lists this ribosomal RNA (254 nucleotides) under uncultured bacterium. RNAcentral describes it as "partial 16S ribosomal RNA". It matches the Rfam family "Bacterial small subunit ribosomal RNA", at positions 524 to 776 of the family's 1533-position model. The record is from RNAcentral.
UACGGGGGGCGCAAGCGUUGUUCGGAUUUACUGGGCGUAAAGGGCGCGUAGGCGGCCACCGCAAGUCAGUUGUGAAAUCUCUGGGCUUAACCCAGAAAGGUCAACUGAUACUGCGGGGCUAGAGUGCAGAAGGGGCAACUGGAAUUCUUGGUGUAGCGGUGAAAUGCGUAGAUAUCAAGAGGAACACCUGAGGUGAAGACGGGUUGCUGGGCUGACACUGACGCUGAGGCGCGAAAGCCAGGGGAGCAAACGGG